This 887-nucleotide ribosomal RNA is filed under the name uncultured bacterium. RNAcentral describes it as "bacterial SSU rRNA". It matches the Rfam family "Bacterial small subunit ribosomal RNA", at positions 52 to 916 of the family's 1533-position model. The record is from RNAcentral.
GACAUGCAAGUCGAACGGGAUUUUUUCCUGUAGCAAUACAGGAAAAAGUCUAGUGGCGAACGGGUGCGUAACACGUGAGCAACCUGCCGUGAAGUGGGGGAUAGCUCGCCGAAAGGCGAAUUAAUACCGCAUGUGGCCAAGGAAGACAUCUUCCUGACGCCAAAGCCGGGGCAACCUGGCGCUUCUCGAGGGGCUCGCGGCCUAUCAGCUUGUUGGUGAGGUAACGGCUCACCAAGGCUAUGACGGGUAGCUGGUCUGAGAGGACGACCAGCCACACUGGAACUGAGACACGGUCCAGACACCUACGGGUGGCAGCAGUCGAGAAUUUUUCACAAUGGGGGAAACCCUGAUGGAGCGACGCCGCGUGGAGGAUGAAGGUUUUCGGAUUGUAAACUCCUGUCAUUAGAGAACAAGGCACACGGUUUCACUGACCGUGUGUUGAUAGUAUCUGAAGAGGAAGAGACGGCUAACUCUGUGCCAGCAGCCGCGGUAAUACAGAGGUCUCAAGCGUUGUUCGGAUUCAUUGGGCGUAAAGGGUGCGUAGGUGGCGAUGUAAGUCGGAUGUGAAAUCUCCAAGCUUAACUUGGAAACUGCAUUCGAUACUGCGUUGCUAGAGGACUGUAGAGGGCAUUGGAAUUCACGGUGUAGCAGUGAAAUGCGUAGAUAUCGUGAGGAAGACCAGUGGCGAAGGCGAAUGCCUGGGCAGUUCCUGACACUGAGGCACGAAGGCCAGGGGAGCAAACGGGAUUAGAUACCCCGGUAGUCCUGGCAGUAAACGGUGCACGUUUGGUGUGGGAGGAUUCGACCCCUUCCGUGCCGGAGCAAACGCGUUAAACGUGCCGCCUGGGGAGUACGGUCGCAAGAUUAAAACUCAAAGAAAUUGACGG